Nannospalax galili (Upper Galilee mountains blind mole rat) is the source of this 1266-nucleotide long non-coding RNA. RefSeq lists it as uncharacterized. The record is from RefSeq and is a predicted model, not a curated record. NCBI's taxonomy places the organism in Eukaryota, Metazoa, Chordata, Mammalia, Rodentia, Spalacidae. The transcript is spliced from 5 exons.
CCUGGUGCAUCUGACAGUGUAGUGCUUACUCUAAGAGUUACAACUGCAGACAUCAAACUGUCCAGCUCAUGGGGAAGAUGAUCUGGAUGCAAUGUACUCAGUGGUUCAGAAACCCUGGGAGGAACAGGGCAGAAGGGGCUCUGGGAAGCCAUCCGUCUCACUCCGUAAGAGGAUCAAUCUGGCUGCAGAUAUGACCAGAGAGCCUGCAUCGGAUGUCGGACAAUACAAUAAAGGAACAGCAGUCAAUCAGCAGAGCUAGAAGCUUGUCUCAGCCACAAGGAAGACCCCAAUCCCACCUCCAAGCAGAGUUCUGUGAGGCUAUGACGAUAGCCUUGUGCAGUGGCUAGCAAGGAAACAGUCAAGAACACAGUCAUCACCAGCCUGCUUCUGUCCCCUGGGAGGUUUUAUCUAACUACACAGAAGCUGUGGACCUACAGUGACAAAUGCCUAUGCAGCUAUCAGCUGCCUCCCAGAAGUUGGGGUGAGAAGGCACACCUGGCCAAGGCACACCCCUUGUCAGCUGACCAGCAGAGGCUCAGGUGGACUCACCCAGCUGGUGGGAAAUGGAUCUGUCAACAGACAUAAGAGCGAGCCGGCUUCUCUUCACAUUCCUAAUUCUGCCACCGGGUCUUAGUUCAUUGUCUGCCCCCCCAUCCAGUUCUACAUACAAGAGACCCAUCGAACCCACCCUUCAAGAGCCCACAAUGAGCCAGAUGUAUGUGGCCAGGCAAGAAACACAAGGACAAAUGUGCAGGAGAUGUUCUUUCUCACCAAGGAGGCAGCUCUCAGCCCAGCCCUGCUGGCCCACUUCCUCAGACAGGGCCUCGCCAGUUGUGUGGCAGUCUCCUCCUAACUGAAACAUGGCAUGGGGAGGCUCAUGAGACCCGAGAAGUAAAUGACUCACAAGUCUCAGGAAGUAUCUGGAAUGAGAUUCACAAGGUGCCUCCCUAGGGUUAUGGAAGCUGUACCCAAGAGAAUCUCCAACCAGUCAAGAUUCAGGAGAGCAUCUGAGCUGCCUGAGGGAGACGGUCUCCUCCUGUCCAGCUGCCUGGAGCCUUACAGAGAGCUCUGGGGGUGCAGCUUUUGUGAGUCAGCACCAGGCUGGGGUGGGCUCUUGAGUGGAACAGCUGCCUUUGAGUCGUCCACACUCCUGUAAGUAACCACCAUAAACUCACUGGUUCACCAAAUUGGACUUUCAUGAAACUGUGACCUUGGUGCAUCUCUGGCUCUCCACCUAGAUAAAUAGACAUUUGUUCAUGUCUUGAC